CACUGCUCUGACGGAUGCUUUUAUUAGACCAAGCCGCUGAGGACUUGAGGGCUUGCUCUCCUGUCUGACUCGUGUAAUGGUGACUCUGGAUAACCAAAUUUCUGACAAGCGCACGUACUUCUCUUCUGAGCGAGACGGCGCUGCCACUUUCGAGUGUCUGCCUUAUCAGCUAUCAACCGUUCGUUAUGCGCGACCGAUGGCUUUGACGGGUAACGGGGAAUCAGGGUUCGAUUCCGGAGAGGCAGCCUGAGAGACGGCUACCACGUCCAAGGACGGCAGCAGGCACGCAAAUUACCCAAUCCCAGCAAAUGGGGGAGGUAGUGACGAAAUCUAACGAUGCGGGCGCCCUUUCUGGGGCCCCGCAAUCGGAAUGGGCACUUUCUAAACAACCUGUUGAGAACCUACUGAAGGGCAAGUCUGGUGCCAGCAGCCGCGGUAAUUCCAGCUUCAGCAGCAUCUAUUAAAGUUGCUGCGGUUAAAAGGCUCGCAGUUGAAUGUCUGUAUCGAGCGCAGGUCAGGUGGACGUUGGGGCGUGGAAGUACGGGCAGUUGGAUGUCCGGAGGGCCUUCGUGCUCAACGGCUCCUUCGGCUUUUCCACACACCCCCGUCCGUGACAAGCCUCCUCGCUCGGGUACAUAACGGGAAUCGGUCAAACGGAGUGUGGUCGGGGGUUGGGGCGCGUGGCCUCGGUUGCGUGUCUCUUCUUUCGGCUGCGUUAAGCUCCAUCGGUUUCACGGUCACCUUGAGUAAAUCAGAGUGCUCAAAGCAGUCGUAGGGGCCUUGCGCCCUGUGAACAGUCUUGACGGACUGACUUGGUUUUGCAUGGCAUGUCGGAAGACGACGUCGUGUGCUGGCUCAGAGGAUAAAUCAGUGGUACAAGCCAGCCUCGACGUAAUGAUUAAAAGGGACGGUCGAGGGCAUUGGUAUUGCGAGGCGAGAGGUGAAAUUCUGUGACCCCCGCAAGACCUCCUGAAGCGAAAGCGUCUGCCAAGGACGUUUUCAUUAAUCAUGAACGAAAGUUAGAGGAUCGAAGGCGAUCAGAUACCGCCCUAGUUCUAACCCUAAACGAUGCCAACCAUCAAUCCGCGCGUAGCACCCUUCUUAACGGGCUCGGCGGGCAGCUCCCCACUCACGGGAAACCAGAGCCUCUGGGUUCCGGGGGGAGUCUGGUUGCAAAGCUGAAACUUAAAGGAAUUGACGGAAAGGCACCACCAGGCGUGGAGCCUGCGGCUUAAUUUGACUCAACACGGGCCAUCUCACCAGGCCAGCACUCUUGUACG
This 1280-nucleotide ribosomal RNA is filed under the name Gammarus nekkensis. Its description in RNAcentral is "SSU rRNA". It matches the Rfam family "Eukaryotic small subunit ribosomal RNA", at positions 187 to 1238 of the family's 1831-position model. The record is from RNAcentral. Lineage: Eukaryota; Metazoa; Arthropoda; Malacostraca; Amphipoda; Gammaridae.